AACAGCGGUGGAGAUGUAGCCAUCGGACAGCCCCAACUCCCCUGUUCCGCGAGGGGAGGACGGGGGCGGCGGAUGCGAGGGAGACCCGUGGGCCAAUACGCGCGGAAAGAAACAAAAUUACCCGUUCAAUUUAAAAAAAUGGAUUGAGCCGGUGGGACGUCACGAUGCCCCGUCGCCAAAAAGCUCACUACGUCGCUCACGAACGCGCUCAUUUGGCUCUCAGUCCGGAGGGACCGCUGGUUACCAGGAGCUCAUCCAAGACCCGUGCAACCCACCCUUCUGCACCCGAGGAGGGAAACAAAAAUGACACACACAAGCGCCGGAAGUGAAGAUGAGGGCGUACUCCAACCUCCAGGUGUGUUGGAGGCACUGUUCGUGUGUGUUUGCUGCUGACAGAGAGCUGUGUUCGCAGGCCUGAGGGGUUGUCUGUUAUCUUUGGUUAUCUAGCUGUAUGAGUGGCAUACAUUCUUCAUAAAGCUAGAUAACCGAAAGUAACAAGAAUCCCAUUACACGCCUGCACGGUGGAAGAAAACUAGAUGAAAAGGACGAGAAGAACUGUCAAACGAUGACGUGAAGGUUCCUAAUUGGUCCGAAGUUGGAAAUCAUCAGAUCUUUGCCUCUUUGCUCUUUUGGACUCUGACUUUAAGGCCAGUGUUGUUCGUCCUACACAUGACGACUAUCUUUAACCGCUAAUAUACACCAGGAAACACCCCGUCUCCAUGUAAAAACAGUUAGAAGCAAGAUUACAUGAGAUCAUGGAACAAGAGGACAAACAUUUGACCCAUGAAUAAAUUGCAAAGGUGAUCAUUGUGUGUGUUUUGCGUUGCUGGAGGGUUGUCUUGUGGUUGUGCGGUGCACAGCUGUUCAGGAAACAUCUGGACUACAUUUUCAUGUAUGGCGGAGCUGAGAUCUCUCUCAAACACGCAAACACACUCUCAAUCAUCCAAGGUUCAAACUAAUUUUAGAUUAGAAGAUGAUAAAAAAUAGUAGUUGUGGGGUUCUUAUAGUAAAUAUGCAUUAGUUUCACAUUGUAUUAUUCUUCAGAGAAUCUUAUCUUAGAUCUUAAAUCAUAGAAUUUAAACUGUAUUAGUCAUAUUUUAAUUGAUAUUUGUAACUAUUUGAAUAAGCAAUAAGAUGUGUACAUUUCUGUCAUAUAAAAUGCUUGAUGUUUCAAUCUAAUGGUUGACAAUCAGUGUGAUUGGUUUACAUUUUUUUUCCAUUAGGGAUGUCAAAAUAGUCUCUUGGAAUUUAUCCGUCAACUAUAAAUUGUAUAAUAAUAAUCUCAUUUUUUAAAACUUUUUUACAUUUAACCAUCUCAUAUUAGAGCAUUUUGUUUUGUUCUCGUAGAGUUCUUUCCAAGGCUUUGUUUUUUUUUAAAGAAAAUAUGUUACAAUUUUUAGGGUACACAUUUAAUCAAUAGCACUAUUAUCCCUGCAGGAAGCGUUUUUGUGCAAUCAAAACUACAUUAUGUAAAUGUUUUUCCUCUAUGCAAAAAUAUUUUUUUGCACUCUUUGUUGUGUUUGCACAGUAAUUGUCUUGUUGAGUUUUCACAUUAGCAAUGUUCUGUUGGUGUGAGAGAAUUGUGAUGUUAAUAUGCACUAUAUGAGCAUAAGUGCAAUAACUGUUGAAAUGUGUUUAUCUGGAGGUUCAAUGAGAAACUUUAUUCUGUCAAUUUAGUCAGUAAAUGCACAAGCAGAUUUAUUUACACAUUUAAUUUUUUUUAAUCAGUUCCUCGGUUAAUAUAAUAUUAAUAUGUGAAUGCAUGGGAUUCUCUUUUGAUCCAUUGUGGAUACCUUGUGGAUAUGUGCAAUUGAUUUUUUGCGGUUUGACGACUAUUCAGAGGGAAUAAUUCAUUAUAUUAUAAUGCACUAUGGAUGACACACCAGCUGCUGGUAAUGUGCUCCACAUCUGUACUAUGCAACCGUUUCACCUGCAGUUUAUUUGAAACAAUAAAAGUAUUCAUGUUUUGAAUGAGACAAUGA
This is a long non-coding RNA of Pungitius pungitius (ninespine stickleback), 1982 nucleotides long. RefSeq lists it as uncharacterized. NCBI's taxonomy places the organism in Eukaryota, Metazoa, Chordata, Actinopteri, Perciformes, Gasterosteidae. The record is from RefSeq and is a predicted model, not a curated record. The transcript has 4 exons.